This 29-nucleotide non-coding RNA is filed under the name Bombyx mori (domestic silkworm). Lineage: Eukaryota; Metazoa; Arthropoda; Insecta; Lepidoptera; Bombycidae. RNAcentral also lists the same sequence under 1 other name. The record is from RNAcentral.
UUAAGCAAGUCUUUUUACCUUUACUGGAC